CCAUAUUGUCUAGUGGUUAGGAUACCUGGCUCUCACCCAGGAGACCCGGGUUCAAUUCCCGGUAUGG
This 67-nucleotide transfer RNA is filed under the name Daphnia pulex (common water flea). It matches the Rfam family "tRNA". From Rfam's summary of the family: Transfer RNA (tRNA) molecules are approximately 80 nucleotides in length. Their secondary structure includes four short double-helical elements and three loops (D, anti-codon, and T loops). Further hydrogen bonds mediate the characteristic L-shaped molecular structure. tRNAs have two regions of fundamental functional importance: the anti-codon, which is responsible for specific mRNA codon recognition, and the 3' end, to which the tRNAs corresponding amino acid is attached (by aminoacyl-tRNA synthetases). tRNAs cope with the degeneracy of the genetic code in two manners: having more than one tRNA (with a specific anti-codon) for a particular amino acid; and 'wobble' base-pairing, i.e. permitting non-standard base-pairing at the 3rd anti-codon position. Lineage: Eukaryota; Metazoa; Arthropoda; Branchiopoda; Diplostraca; Daphniidae. The record is from Rfam by way of RNAcentral.